AGACGUAGGGGGCAAGCGUUGUCCGGAAUUACUGGGCGUAAAGGGUGCGUAGGCGGCAUUACAAGUCUGGAGUGAAAGCCCGGGGCUCAACCCCGGGACUGCUUUGGAAACUGUGGUGCUAGAGUGCAGGAGAGGUAAGUGGAAUUCCUAGUGUAGCGGUGAAAUGCAUAGAUAUUAGGAGGAACACCAGUGGCGAAGGCGACUUACUGGACUGUAACUGACGCUGAAGCACGAAAGCGUGGGGAGC
Molecule: ribosomal RNA, 247 nt
Filed under: uncultured bacterium
Lineage: Bacteria
Description: partial 16S ribosomal RNA
Rfam family: Bacterial small subunit ribosomal RNA
Source: RNAcentral